GCAUUUCUCUUUCGGUUUCACUUUUGUACUUGCUGGAUAGACUGCUGCCACACCGGCUGGCUAGAUUGCUCUGUAAGUAAGGCUUUUCCCUAUUAAAUACCCUUAUAUUUCUACCUGACUCUGUAUUGGUAAUUUCCCAAUAUAUCAAUAUAUAUAUAUAUAUAGUCACUUCUCUCAACAUCUUAAUAGUUGUUGUCAGAUUUGUUAAUGAUAGUCAUUUUGACAGUGAUGAGGUGGUAUAUCAAAGUAGUUUCAAUUUGAUUAAUUAAUUUAAUUAAUCCCAGAGGACUAAGACCAUUGAUUAAUUUUUAAAGUAUCUUUUGGCUGUUUUUCUUUUCUUUCUUUCUUUUUUGCUUUCUAUGGUGAUUUCAUGAGAGCCACGUUAACAAGGGCCAGUGGAAAGCUCAGUGGGUGAAAAAAACCUUGCUAUACAAGACUUGGUCGCAUUCCUAGAAUCCACAUUGAAGGAGAGAACCAACUUCCUACUGCUAUCUUAUAGUCUCCAUGCGAGAAGAAAAACUUUGGAUACCAUCAAAAUUGAUCAAGAUUAGAGUUGAAAAAGACAACCCUCUUGACAAGGACAACUGACUGGAAAACUGAUCUCCAGAAGUCCAAGAAUACUAUAUGAGUAGAUACUUAAGAAAACAAGGUAGCUAUAACCAUCAAACAAAAGGAACAUGCCAUAUGGUAAACUUUACAGCUGUCUCUCAAAUAACUCUGUUUCUCUUCAUUUCCUAGUUCCUAUUCAAGUAAAUAAAUGCUGGAUUUAGAGUUGGAUUUGUCUUUCCUCCCCUAAAAUCUAAACAUGUUGUUUAACUAAACUUUUCAGUUUCUGUAUUAUAUCAAGAAGCCAACUGAUGUAAUACAAAAUAAAUUAAGAAUUUGAAGACCAUCUUUUGUCUUUUCUUGGCUCUUUCUUUCAAGGCCUACACCCUCUCAUAAUUGUUGUUUUCCCAUGGUUGCCUUUCCCAGCAUACAUACAUAUGCAAGCAAACAUUUCUCUGCUAACACUUAUGUUUGAGUCCCAUACAGCCAAUGAAGACCCGCCUUACAACAAUCCCUGGACGCUGCGGAAAUGGAAUUGGGCCAUACCUCCUGGACUGCACUGGAUCCAACUUACUCCAUUUCAACUGACACUCCAGCCAGAGCUUCAAGUACUGGCUUCAGUCAAGUUGAGGAUUUCAACCUAGAUCUUCAAUCAAGCAAACCCCAUCUAACAUGGACUGGAGAUAACCCAUUAGAGACUUUCACUAUACUAACAUUUUCUUCCCACAGGACCCCACAAGGCUACCAUCAUUCCAUUUCAGCAGGAAGUAACUUGGAAGAUGCUACACCCCUUUUCCCCAUUAUUGUCUAUUAGGGUGGUGUAAGCCUAGUUAGGAAUAACUUUCCUAUUGUUUAGGGUUGGGAUUGGAAGGAGGUGUUCAGGUUGGACACCCCUUUCAGAUAACUUUAUUGCUUAGCUGGAAUAGACACAGUUAGGAAGUGCAAUAGCAGAUUAUUGUAUCUUCUUGUAUUUCACCUUUAUGAUUAUUAAUUUUGCAUGUUUUCACCAUUAAGUUUUAAUCCUCUUUUAGUCUAAAAGGGGAAUUGUAGGGAGACAACAUAACCACACUUUCUAAGAGCUGGCUACAGGUGUGCUUAACCACUCCUGCCAGGGCUUGGUCUGGAUGAUGCGUGGAGAGUUCUUAAAGUGUGGCAGGGAUGUGGGAGCUAUCUCUCUGGCCUCCCUAGCUUGCUGCCUCUGGGCUCGCUCUGGCUUGUGCUUGGCCAGUAUUAUUUAAAUAAAGAUAUCUUAACCUGCAAUCUCUCAGUACAGUUUCCUUUAAAGAAUCAUUGCUUAUUUCUCACAUUAGAAGGAGGCAUUUGCAAUUUCAUCCUUUUUAAUAAUCUGUAAAAUAUUUUAUGCUUAUGAUAUGUACACCAACUUGUUUUCUUAUGGGAAGAUUUAUUAUGGUGGAAGAUAUGAAGUUUAGUGUACCAAUAAGUCUUUACUCCAAACUGCCCAAGCCCUUCAGGCACAUGGGCGCUUUCUGCCAGGCUCCCAAGUUCUGCCCGACGCCAUGUUAGAGUUCCAAGUAACACACAGAGACUUAUAUUAGGUACAAAUGCUUCUUGGCCAAUGACUAGGAUUUCUUAUAUGCUAGGUAAGUCUUAAUUAUCAUAAAUCUAUAUAUUUUAUAAGACUUAUUUUAUGUAAGACACCUUCCACUAGCAUCCUCAUCCUGGAAUUACAUGGUGGCUCAGAGCAGAGAGC
RNAcentral lists this long non-coding RNA (2257 nucleotides) under Cricetulus griseus (Chinese hamster). RNAcentral describes it as "lncRNA (ENSCGRG00015039241.1)". Lineage: Eukaryota; Metazoa; Chordata; Mammalia; Rodentia; Cricetidae. The record is from RNAcentral.